GACGAACCGUCCAAACGUUAUUCGGAAUCACUGGGCUUAAAGGGCGCGUAGGCGGCCGAGCGGGUCGUGGGUGAAAUCCUCCAGCUUAACUGGAGAACUGCUUACGAUACCACUGCGGCUCGAGGAAGGAAGGGGCAAUCGGAACUGUCGGUGGAGCGGUGAAAUGCGUUGAUAUCGACAGGAACGCCGGUGGCGAAAGCGGAUUGCUGGUCCUUUUCUGACGCUGAUGCGCGAAAGCCAGGGGAGCAAACGGGAUUAGAUACCCCGGUAGUCCUGGCCUUAAACGAUGAGAACUAGGUAGUGGGUCCGACCUGGGCACACUGCCGAAGCGAAAGUCUUAAGUUCUCCGCCUGGGGAGUAUGGUCGCAAGGCUGAA
This 376-nucleotide ribosomal RNA is filed under the name uncultured bacterium. RNAcentral describes it as "bacterial SSU rRNA". It matches the Rfam family "Bacterial small subunit ribosomal RNA", at positions 524 to 898 of the family's 1533-position model. The record is from RNAcentral.